Non-coding RNA from Eumeta japonica, 98 nucleotides. The record is from the annotation of a GenBank genome assembly. Lineage: Eukaryota; Metazoa; Arthropoda; Insecta; Lepidoptera; Psychidae.
AACGUCCAUACCAGGCUGAAUACAUGGGUCCUCGUCCUAUCACGUUAAGCAGCGUCGGGCGCGGUCAGUACUUGGAUGGGUGACCGCCUGGGAACACC